CUGGCGGCCAACGGGAGGGAAAGGCGGGAGAAAGAGCGAAGGUAACGAUGGCGCUGCUCUUCUCCGCCCUCCGCGUGGUGUUGGGCCUUUUUUUCGCCGUCAGCGGGGCGGUCAAGCUCACCGACCUGAUCGCCGGAGAUGCCCACCAGCAGAUGGUGCCAUCUACACCCUGCUGGUUUUGAAAGAGCCUUUUGCCAUGUGCGUCCCAGCCACUGUCUCCUUGGGCCUUUUGCUCCUCCUCAACAUCCGUGGAAGAGGGAAGUGUGUGAAGUCAAAGUCUGAAUGAGAUCUGGAGAGAUGGGAAGGAUUCAAAAUGAAGCUUUUGGAAGGACAGACAACUGGUGUUUCCCAUCCUGCUCCCCGACUAAUCAGAUCAUGCGGACUUUACAGUGUAUAAUCCAGAAAGGGGGUUAAAUCUUCACGGUCAUGGCCUAUUUUUUCUCCUUUCUUAACUGUCCAUUUUGUCCGUUUUCCAUCCCUCUUUAAACCUGAUUGGAGAGCUUGUCUUCUCUGCAAAACCAGUCUCUCUCUCUCUCUCUUCGGUCAAUGGCUACUUCUUGUGUUCAGGCAAGGAGAUAACAUGGAACAGAAGAAAAUACCACAUUUAGAAAAGGGCCGAGAAUGAGGGUUAUGUGAGAUUGUGGUUGGGCACUAAAGAAUAUUGUUGAGGGUAAAAGAGGCCUUGGAAUUCUGCAGAAUGAUAUAAUCAAAGGACCAAGAUAGAUCUUGUACCAGUUAUACAUUGUAAUGCUUCAUUUCUGGAUUUUAUUAACUUUGCUAUCAACCCAUCUUGGCCUGAUCUAAGAUUAGGACUUACGUUUGUUGGUUGAGGAAGUAUAGGUUAAUCAUGAUCCCUCAUCCUUUUCCCAAAAAUUAAAUUUAAUUCCAUUUACCCAAUACUUUUUUUUAACCAUUUGCAUCAAGCAAAAGGUCCUUUUUAUCAUUCCAGUUUUGUUAAUUGGUCAUGAAUUUGGGGAAAUAAAAGUAAAGGGGAUGAAUAGAUUUCUUCGAAUAAGCAUGAGAUGAUCUUGAGCCAUUGCCAUUUAUAAGAAAUAAUCAAUAGGUUCAAAUUUUAUGUCCAUAUUUGGGGGGGACUGAAGGUUGGUUGGGAGCUUUUGGCUUGUUUUUCUUAAAAAAAAAACUUUUAAA
Molecule: non-coding RNA, 1149 nt
Organism: Thamnophis sirtalis
Lineage: Eukaryota; Metazoa; Chordata; Lepidosauria; Squamata; Natricidae
Source: RefSeq, a predicted model, not a curated record